AUAUGAUAGAGCGGAGCGACGGUGUGAAAGCUGAGCCAGGAAAAUUAUCAUGGCUGUCGGGGCCGUAUUGGCUUGACGGCCUGUGUGCUGGCUAGUUGAGUGUGGCGGGUCAACACC
Haliotis rubra (blacklip abalone) is the source of this 117-nucleotide long non-coding RNA. RefSeq lists it as uncharacterized. The transcript has 2 exons. Lineage: Eukaryota; Metazoa; Mollusca; Gastropoda; Lepetellida; Haliotidae. The record is from RefSeq and is a predicted model, not a curated record.